UCAAUACCCAUUAACAGAACGCGUCCCUCACCCUCUCUUUCUCUCUCGAGAUUUUCUUUUUCUUUUUCUUUGCCUCUGUGAAUAGAAGCCAGCGGCAACACCUCUCUUCCAUUCUAUAUGUUUUCUUCCUUCUUCAUUAGAAACAAAACCAAUUGCCACCAUGAUAGAUACGCACUCAUGAAGAAAAGAUUUGGGUAUUUAUGUUGAAAGGCUUCCUACAAAAUAUUUAGGAGUUAGGGUUUAUGCUCCAAAGAAAAGAGGAAGAUCAAGUUAGCAAUUGAACGAGAGUGGAGUUCCCUGUGAUUGGUGUGAAACCAUGGCUCUUUGGAAUGACUAGUUUGCAACUGGAUAUGUGCUGCCCAAAACGUUUGACAGAGGAAAAGAAACAAGUCAGCUAUAGAGGAUACACGAGAGAUGCAAAAUGGCUUUAUUUGGUUUUGGUUGUCCAAGGAGUUGCUAGCUACUGGCUAUUCAAGUAUCUUGGAGACAUUGGAAGCAAUCAUUAAUCAUUCUAACUCCUUAUAGCUGAAACUGAGUAGCAGACUGUUGUCAGAUUCAGGUCGUUCGGCUUAUUUCGUUUAUAGGCCUCAUUGGAAGGUUGUCAUUUAUUUGUGUCUGUUGUCGGUCUUUGUCAUUCUGCAGCUAUAAGGGAGUCUUUGAGGGAAUUCAGUUUAACUUGUUAUUUAUUGUUUAAAUUUAAGAUUUAGCACAUUAGUGCUGGAUUUGAAAUUUAUGUAUUCUUGGAAUUUUAGUUAUAAUAAAUCUCAAUUGUUAGAUUUUAUUAUUUUGGAGA
Lotus japonicus is the source of this 793-nucleotide long non-coding RNA. RefSeq lists it as uncharacterized. The record is from RefSeq and is a predicted model, not a curated record. The transcript is spliced from 4 exons. Lineage: Eukaryota; Viridiplantae; Streptophyta; Magnoliopsida; Fabales; Fabaceae.